Paramacrobiotus metropolitanus is the source of this 5995-nucleotide RNA transcript. It is a transcript of the gene named exosome RNA helicase MTR4-like, with no coding region annotated. The record is from RefSeq and is a predicted model, not a curated record. The transcript has 21 exons. NCBI's taxonomy places the organism in Eukaryota, Metazoa, Tardigrada, Eutardigrada, Parachela, Macrobiotidae.
GGUUUCCAGCUUCAUGAGAAACUUUUUUCUGGCUUUGUAAUAGUGCAUGGAGUCUAGUGUUUCAUUAGUAAACUUUCUGCGGAAAAUUCCAAACUGAUAGAGUGGCAGGUUUCAAAAUAAUAUUAUUUGUUGCAGCGGUAGACCGGAGUAUGUGAGCUGACUGAGAGAAGUGAACGAGGCAACAUAAUAAUGUCGACGAUUGAAAACGCCAUUGCUUCGGACGAUCUUCCAUCUAGUUCGGAUAUCAAUGCGGACGCACAUGAGGAUCUGGAUAGUGACGAAGAAGGCGAUGAAUACUUGAUCCAAGGGACUUCUUCAGGUUCGCGAUUGAUGUAUGGAGGAACCAAAAGGGUCCAUCAGAGUCCCUCACCUGAAAGAAUGGAUACCUCCUCGAAUUCUCUAUCGAAACGGGCAUGCCUGUCGAUGGACACGGUGGAACUGCAAGAUAAUCAGAAAUUCCACCGAAUGGAAGUACGCUCCAUUCCUGGACUGGUGUCAUGCAUCCACGAAGUGGCCAUCCCUCCGGGCGCCGACUACAUUCCGCUCCAGCCCCGUCAAGGCCCGCCGCUCCGCGAGUAUAAAUUCGUUCUGGACUCUUUCCAGACGCAGGCCAUCCUCUGCAUUGAUAAUCUACAAUCGGUGCUGGUGGCGGCUCACACAUCGGCGGGGAAAACAGUGGUUGCAGAGUAUGCUAUCGCGAAAGGCUUAAAAAACAAUCAACGUGUUAUUUACACAUCACCCAUAAAAGCCUUGAGUAACCAGAAAUAUCGGGAAAUGAUGGACCAUUUCCAGGAGCAAGUCGGUCUCAUGACUGGCGAUAUCACUAUAAAUCCCAAUGCGAGCGUGCUGAUUAUGACCACUGAGAUUUUAAGGAGCAUGCUUUACCGCGGAAAUGAGAUAAUGCGUGAAGUCGGAUGGGUGAUAUUCGAUGAAAUUCAUUACAUGCGCGAUCCGGAGAGAGGUGUCGUAUGGGAAGAAACAAUUAUCCUCUUACCAGAUAAAGUCAGAUUCGUCUUCUUGUCCGCCACAAUUCCCAAUGCCAUUCAGCUGGCGGAAUGGAUAGCCUGGCUGCACAAACAACCCUGUCACGUCGUGUACACAGAACACCGUCCCGUGCCCUUACAACAGUAUUUGUAUCCGGCUGGAAGUAAAGGGCUCUAUCUCAUCAUGGACGAGAACAGGAACUUCCGAGAAGCGAAUUUCGCAACCGCCAUGCAGCAUUUACAGGAAGGAUCUACAUCGGAUGAAUUAAGCAGAAAGCAACAAGCCCAUCGCAACAAAUCAGGCCAAGCCACCGUAACGAAGUUGGUGCAGAUGGUUAUGGAAAGAAAUUACGAACCAGUUAUUGUCUUUUCCUUCAACCGACGCGAAUGUGAGCAGUACGCUACCAGCAUGCACAAAAUGGACUUUAAUACGGAUGAAGAAAAAGAAAUGGUCGAUGCCGUGUUUAAAAACGCAAUCGAAGUAUUAUCGCCGGAUGAGCGCAAAUUGCCUCAGAUUCUCAAUACCGUUCCUCUUCUCAAACGUGGCAUCGGUAUCCAUCAUUCUGGGCUGUUGCCCUUAAUCAAAGAAACAAUUGAGCUGUUGUUUCAAGAAGGAUUGAUUAAAGUAUUGUUUGCCACCGAGACGUUUGCUAUGGGUUUAAACAUGCCAGCAAGAACAGUUUUGUUCACUAGUUUGAGGAAAUUCGACGGAAAGGAGAACAGAUUUAUUACUUCCAACGAAUUUAUUCAGAUGAGUGGUCGUGCCGGACGUCGAGGAAUCGAUACUCGUGGCAUUGUGUUAAUCCAAGUGGACGAACAGAUUCCCUCGGCGGUUUUGAAAAACAUUGUCAAAGGCAGCGCCGAUCCGUUAAAAAGCGCUUUUCGGUUGACAUAUAAUAUGAUCCUGAAUCUUCUACGAGUUGACGGAAUCUCUCCUGAAUAUAUAUUGGAGAGGUCUUUCUUGCAGUACCAGAGUUAUGCCGAUGUUCCCAAAACACUCGAAGAAAUAUCGAAGAAGAAAGAGGAAUUGGAGAAACUGGUGAUACCUCGACCCGAAGACUUAAGUCAGUACUUUCGUAUUCUAAACGAAGUGACGCGGUUGACCAAAACGGUGCAAGAAAUCAUCACCAGCGAGGAAAAUGUUUUGGCCUGGUUAACACCGGGACGGUUGCUACGUCUGAGGCACAACGAGAUGGAUUUCGGUUGGUGUCCGUUCCUACAAUACAAGAAAACCAAAAGCGAAAAGAAAAAAGAUAAGAGCGCUGAGAACUCCGAAAUUUGCUUGAUAGUAGCGCUGCCUGUCAGAGAUUUGGCCAAUCUGGAAGGAUCAGAUGGUCUCAGCUAUUUAAAGCCUGUUAGCAUACAAGAGGCGAAAGAUGCUUUGAUAAUCAAAGCAAACCUUGGAGCUAUUCAGGCUUUGAGCAGCUUGAAGCUGUAUGUACCAGAAGAUCUGUCAAACAAAGACGGACGAUUGCAGUUGUUGAAGUCUCUGAAGGAGGUUCACAAGCGGUUUCCGGAUGGUAUGCCCGCACUUGACCCUGUUAACCACAUGAAAAUUAAAGAUGAGAAAUUCACCGACUCGGUUAAAUUGUUGACUGUUUUGGAAGCCCGAAUGAAGGCGCUACCAAUCCAUGGUGAUCCAGCCAAAGAUGAUCUGAUGCUUCUCCAUAAAAAGAAAAUCUCACUGGAGAAAGACAUUUCCAGAAUGGAGAAAGAGGUUAAGGACACUACCAAAGUGGGACUGCAUGAUGAACUGAAAAGUCGAAUUCGAGUGCUGAAGAAACUGGGUUACUGCAAUGCCGACGGCAUAUGUUCUUUAAAAGGGCGAGCUGCCUGUGAAAUUAGCUGUGCGGAUGAACUUUUGUUGACGGAAAUGCUCUUCGCCGGUCACUUCAAUGACCUGGAGCCGGCCUAUGUUGUGUCGUUAUUGAGCUGCUUCGUAGCCGAGAACAGUAAAUCUUUUGGCAAUGAAGCGCCAAAGAUCAAUGAGCGGUUAUCGGGUGUCCUUCGGCAAGCUCAAGAGAUCUCGAAGAAAAUUGCGACAGUUUCCAAGGAAUGUGAUGUGCCAGAGGAAAAAGCCGUUACGCGCGAGCUCAAACCCGAAUUGAUGGAUAUUUGCCUACAGUGGUGUAAUGGUUCCAGCUUUGCCGAAAUCUGCAAAAGUGGUAUUUAUGAAGGGACCAUUGUACGCUGCCUACGGUUACUGGAAGAACUACUGCGGCAAAUGGCUGCAGCGGCCAAGGUUAUCGGUAAUGAGCCGCUGGAAGAGCGCUUCACCUCGGGUAUCCUGAAGCUCAAGCGUGAUAUUAUAUUUGCCGCGAGCCUGUAUCUGUGAACUGUAUCGCAGUGCUCGCCUGAAACUUCUUAUACUGUCUGAUGUUCUGGAAGUGCGUGGUGAUCAUCGAGUGUGUUUCUAAUUUGAUCGUGGAAUAAAUUGAGAUGCCAUUAUUGAUAUUAUGAUCCUCCUGUAUCGUGCCGUCGAUUUAUACGGACGUAGUAACAUCUGUUUUUGUCACUUACAAUGUUACUCGGAAACAGUGAUUUGGAAUGAUAAGUGCAUAGAAAAACCGGUCACAUUGUUCAGUUGCUGCCUAUUUUGCUUAAAUGCGUAGGCCGAAAAAUUGGGUUUUGGUGGUAAGUACAUUUAAUAAUUACCGUAUGUGGUGUUAUGGUUAUAAGUAACUUGUGAGAAAUUUCUUAACAGCAAAUGUGGAACCGGUUACCAACUGCGACAUUUAUCUCAACUUUGUCCAGACUUUAUCGCGGCGAAUCGGGAAAGCCGAAAGCUGUUAGUGUUGUACGUAAUUUGGUACCUAUGGUUGUUAUCGUCGUUCAAUGACGCAUUCAGUGAUUUCGUGAUAAAUUCUUAUUAAUUUUGUUCAUUGUUAAAAUCUAUGGUAGCUGCCGAGUGCAGACUGGCCCGUGUUGAUGGUCCUGUUUGUUUAUGCUACUCGCCUCCGGCUUUUGAGCAUUCAUUUUGUGCAAAUGAUAUCAUAAAUGGAAAGCGAAAGUGUAUGUUAAACACCGUACGUUCUUCAUGCUAAAUUUUCCGUAUACCGUACUGACAGUCAACCAUUGCAAAGCCCGUAUUUUAUCGUUAAUUCCUGCUGUUUAUUGCUGUUCUGCAAAUUUGUUGACGAAUGACGAUCAAUGAUCGAGCGUGGGUUGAUCGAUCAGCUGAUACACUACCUUUACGGACCAGUAAACUACAGUAUAGGAAUUACGCUUGAAUGCCUUGAUGCCAUCGUAACUCGGAAGGAAAAGGAAAAAUCUUGUCUGAUCUUGAUAAUGAAUGCUCGAUUUUCUUGAAAUAGUGUACUAUCUGAGCUCAAGGUUUUAUCCGUCGGAACUACAGCUUGUGAUCACCAAAGUCGCGCUGCACUACUGGCUGUCAUUUGGAUUUAUUCUUGUCCGCGACUUCCCAUAUUCGCGGUACAUUAUGGGAAGUAGUUGUAUGAAGCCGAAGCGAUGGUUGCCCGGAGGACCAAAUUACAAUAACAAGGACAAGGCUCGCAGUUCGGUACGUGGACAGUCGCUUGGCACAUCAGCAUCAUUAAGACCCACAGCAUCCACGACUACCAUCAUUCCUAGCAGUAAUGCUGUCGCCGCUCCGGUCCAUGCGUCGGAGCUGGUGGAGCUGCACAGAACGGAUCUCCAAGCAGGAGCAAGCGCAACAGGUAAAGAACUGCUUCCCAGCUCGUCAGCCGUCAACAGUCGUUUCGCUUCCAUGCACCCGUGGAAUAACGGAGGACUGAAUCGUCGAGGCGGCAAAGUUGUGAUAUUCGAAAUCAGUGAUUUCUAUCCGCCCUUCAAAUCCCAGUGCCAGUUGGCACAGCGUUCCCAUAUUUUCAAGGAGACGCAACAACUGACCAAACUGCUCCGCGCCGCCGGGGUGGCCGCUCUCCAAGUGGAACAAAAUUCCACCACGGACGAGGUGCGGGAUGUAAUGGCGCGACUGGCCACCGACUCAACCAUGGAACACUAUAACUGUCUGGUGUGUGUCAUCUUGACCCGUGGUGUGUUGACGCUGGUGCGGACGACACCGGAUAUCGGCGAUGAUUUCCUGCCGUUUUACGAUGGCUACCUGCGCCGUAGCGAACUGAUUGAUCCGCUGCGAAAAUCUCCGUAUUGUACCAAAAUUCCUGUUUUGUUCAUGUUCGAGGGAAUGCGGGAUGGAUGGCUCUCUGAUCCGCUGGAUGUGAAUAACGUGGCCCUGUUGAUGCCCACAACACCACGGACCUGACAAUUAUUAGCGGAAACCUGCAGCUCAUACAAUUAUUGUGAUGACAUCGCGGUUAUUUGGUAUUUUCAUGCCAUAAUCUUCGCACACAGUGCCAUACAUUUACGGCUAGACGGGGUCGUUGUGAUGCCGGCGCUGGCCAAUGGUUAAUUUUUGAAUCUAUUAAAUUUUAUAUUAUAAUUCUGUAAAAUUUUAUGAUUUUUCCAAUCCGUUCCAUUGAUGCGAAGGCACUUAAUUCUUUGUUUGAACUGUUACUUAUGAUUGAUUUAAAUUUGAAUUUUUGUGUUCACACAUUUUAUGUCUUAUGCAAACACUGUACGAGAUAUCUUUUCCAUUGACGGUUGUUUGAAUAAGAUCUGGCUCGGAGAUAUUGCUAGCGAAUAUGGAUUAUGUUGGCACGUUUGGUAUAUUCUGUAGACAACAUGACUGCGUAGAGAAAAUUUAGCUGGAUGAACUGCAGAGUUGGAACUAUAUGAAUGUUCAAGUAGGAAUGUUUGCUCAGUACAGAUAUCGAGUAGGGCGACAUAAAUUUUAUCCAUGGCGGAGUAGUCUCCAAAACAUCUUUAUCUAAAAUUUUAAUAAACUGAGUGCAAGAAUUUGAAAAGGCGAGCUUUUUUUAACAAUGCAGUCGUAGUUUUUACGGGCAUGUACAGGAUCUGUAUGUAUCCGCAGUAGGCCGGCUUCUUCGCAGAUCCUUCGCCAGUUUGUAUACCGGAAUGGUGAAUCAGGUGAAAGGGCCCUUCACCCGCCGAAGAACGCAAGCUUCACCUCC